Molecule: long non-coding RNA, 297 nt
Filed under: Salvia miltiorrhiza (redroot sage)
Lineage: Eukaryota; Viridiplantae; Streptophyta; Magnoliopsida; Lamiales; Lamiaceae
Description: long non-coding RNA (SMIL_LNC013554)
Source: RNAcentral
ACCCUGCUCAAAAUUCCUGAAAUUGAAAUUGCUGACAAAAUUUGCCUCUUCCAUCAUCAUCGGAUUUUUCACAGCUGACUCCAUCUUAGCAAUAUUCAAAGCAUUUAUCUUGGAAGACAAUGCAGCGAUUUGAGUGGCUAACAAAGUAACUGAAUCAGAAUUUGUGGUGGCAGCAACAUUAUCCAAAUAUACCCUCUCGGCUGGCCAUUGAUAGCAUGUAGUGCCCAUGCUAUCAAAAAUCUCCAUAGCUGCUCAUGUACUACCUGGAAAAACUCCAUAACCAAAAAAUAAGAACCA